This is an RNA transcript of Gorilla gorilla gorilla (western lowland gorilla), 3031 nucleotides long. It is a transcript of the gene named O-sialoglycoprotein endopeptidase like 1, with no coding region annotated. The transcript has 8 exons. The record is from RefSeq and is a predicted model, not a curated record. NCBI's taxonomy places the organism in Eukaryota, Metazoa, Chordata, Mammalia, Primates, Hominidae.
GGCUUUCUCCUGCAGCAAUAAGGGCAGUCGACAGUCUUUACUAGGGAAAGGAGACAAGCGCUAGCUACUGCCGCCCAAGAGGAAGGUGGGUGAAAUUGCUCACUCUUCACCCCACUGACGCUUUUGCGCACCUGGAAAAGCGGUUCCAGUUUGCGCCCGUCGCCGCCUUACAGCCGACAGGAGACCAGCGCUACCCAAGUCACGAAUUAUCUAUAGAGUAAGUAUGCUAAUCUUGACUAAGACUGCAGGAGUUUUUUUUAAACCAUCAAAAAGGAAAGUUUAUGAAUUUUUAAGAAGUUUUAAUUUUCAUCCUGGAACACUAUUUCUUCAUAAAAUAGUAUUGGGAAUUGAAACCAGUUGUGAUGAUACAGCAGCUGCUGUGGUGGAUGAAACUGGAAAUGUGUUGGGAGAAGCAAUACAUUCCCAAACUGAAGUUCAUUUAAAAACAGGUGGGAUUGUUCCUCCAGCAGCUCAACAGCUUCACAGAGAAAAUAUUCAACGAAUAGUACAAGAAGCUCUUUCUGCCAGUAGAAUCUCUCCAAGUGACCUCUCAGCAAUUGCAACUACCAUAAAACCAGGACUUGCUUUAAGCCUGGGAGUGGGCUUAUCAUUUAGCUUACAGCUGGUAGGACAGUUAAAAAAGCCAUUCAUUCCCAUUCAUCAUAUGGAGGCUCAUGCACUUACUAUUAGGUUGACCAAUAAAGUAGAAUUUCCUUUUUUAGUUCUUUUGAUUUCUGGAGGUCACUGUCUGUUGGCAUUAGUUCAAGGAGUUUCAGAUUUUCUGCUUCUUGGAAAGUCUUUGGACAUAGCACCAGGUGACAUGCUUGACAAGGUGGCAAGAAGACUUUCUUUAAUAAAACAUCCAGAGUGCUCCACCAUGAGUGGUGGGAAAGCCAUAGAACAUUUGGCCAAACAAGGAAAUAGAUUUCAUUUUGACAUCAAACCUCCCUUACAUCAUGCUAAAAAUUGUGAUUUUUCUUUUACUGGACUUCAACACGUUACUGAUAAAAUAAUAAUGAAAAAGGAAAAAGAGGAAGGUAUUGAGAAGGGGCAAAUCCUGUCUUCAGCUGCAGACAUUGCUGCCACAGUACAGCACACAAUGGCAUGUCAUCUUGUGAAAAGAACACAUCGGGCUAUUCUGUUUUGUAAGCAGAGAGACUUGUUACCUCAAAAUAAUGCAGUACUGGUUGCAUCUGGUGGUGUCGCAAGUAACUUCUAUAUCCGCAGAGCUCUGGAAAUUUUAACAAACGCAACACAGUGCACUUUGUUGUGUCCUCCUCCCAGACUAUGCACUGAUAAUGGCAUUAUGAUUGCAUGGAAUGGUAUUGAAAGACUACGUGCUGGCUUGGGCGUUUUACAUGGCAUAGAAGGCAUCCGCUAUGAACCAAAGUAUGUGGUAUCAUUCAUGAUCUUUAUGCAAGUUACAUUACUUGAGACAAAGCCUGGAUUUUGCCUUUAUAUAUGAGGUUUUCAUUGACAUUCUGGUGGUACUUGAAGGAAAGUUACAUAAAUUUCUUUCAUGAACCUAGUUAAGGUUGAUACCAUAUGAGAAAUAUUUUUGCUACAGUAUCAAAUUAUAAAAAUCUUGGCAAGUUUAGGUGAGUUAGAAACAGGUCAUGAGUAAGGGUGAUGAAUUCCCUCCUUUGGAACUAGAAUGUAAACUAUGUCCAUGGCCUGGACUUUUGCAAUCUCAAGAACAUCUCAGAACCAGCAAGUAUGCUGGGAAAUUUAAGGAAAACAUGCAGAAAGCAUUCAGGUGUGAGAGUGGGUUGUGAUUACGCUUUUACACAGGCAGUUGAGAAUUGGCCAAAAGAUAUCUGUUUCCUGCAAGCCUUAUUUCCUCUCCCAAAUCAAAGUUCCAGUGAAUAGCACAGUUUUUUCUUUUACUUUUUUCUUUUUUUUUUUUAGAGUCUUACUGUGUCACCCAGGCUAGAAUGCAGUGGCGCAUUCUCGGCUCACUGCAACCUCUGCUUCCCAUAUUCAAGUGAUUGUCAUGCCUCAGCCUCCUGAGUAGCUGGAAUUACAGGAGUUCGAGACCAGCCUGGCCAACAUGGUGAAACCCCGUCUCUACUGAAAAUACAAAAAUUAGCCAGGCGUAGUGGCAGGCGCCUGUAAUCGCAGCUACUCGGGAGGCUGAGGCAGGAGAAUUGCCUGAAUCCUCAAGGCGGAGGUUGCAGUAAGCCAAGAUCACGCCAUUGCACUCCAGCCCGGGUGACAGAGUGAGACUCCAUCUCAAAAAAAAAAAAAAAAAUACACACAACUUGUCAGCAUUAUAUUCCGUAACUUGACAGUUGUGCUAUAUAUGAAUUACAUGUAUGCUGAUGAUGAAUGAACUGAAUUGAGUUAGUAGUACCAGAAGGCAUCCCUUUGAUACCUUGUCUCAGAUAGAGUAUAUCCUCUGAUUCAGUUAUGCCCCCUUGUGGCAGUGUUGAGGCUGGAGAUAAUGCCUUUUUCCAGGUUGGGAUUCAGUCAAAGCAAAGCCUUAUCUUGGACAACAUGGUAGAAAAGCAGAAAUCUGAAGCAAAAAUUAGUUACUGAGGAGGAACAGAAAAAGACAGCAGGAACUAAGACCUCUUUGGCUAGUAAUGGCAAAGGAUGGUAGAAAAGGGGCAAGGCAGCUUUUGAAACUUCAGAGAAGAACCUAUAGAAACCUAGGACAUUUCUAAAAUGUGAAUGGAUACAGGUUUGACUUUAGCUGUGUGGCAAAAAUGUUUUUACCUUUUUAGCUUUGUAGAGAAUUAUAAGAUAUUUUUCAUUAUUUUUAUAUUUCAUUUUAUGUUUUUAACUUAUUUACAGUAUUUGAGAACAGCAAAACUGUUUCUUUUAAAAACGUCUCAAAAUUUAGAUUUCUUAUUGAGACUAGCUUUCAUUAUCCUGACUUGAGGUCCCAGUAUAUUUGUAAGUAUUUAAGAAUCAUCACCACAUAUGAUGAAUUAAAUAUUUGAUAUUUAUACCAUCAGAAUUCUAAGCAAAUAGUCCGCAGAACUAGUGAUGGAUCAUGAAGCAAAUAAAUAAUGCGAUUUGUCUGCUU